Molecule: ribosomal RNA, 440 nt
Filed under: uncultured bacterium
Lineage: Bacteria
Description: partial 16S ribosomal RNA
Rfam family: Bacterial small subunit ribosomal RNA
Source: RNAcentral
CCUACGGGAGGCAGCAGUGGGGAAUAUUGCACAAUGGGGGAAACCCUGAUGCAGCGACGCCGCGUGAGUGAAGACGUAAUUCGUUAUGUAAAGCUCUAUCAGCAGGGAAGAAAAUGACGGUACCUGAGUAAGAAGCCCCGGCUAACUACGUGCCAGCAGCCGCGGUAAUACGUAGGGGGCAAGCGUUAUCCGGAUUUACUGGGGGGAAAGGGAGCGUAGACGGCAGUGCAAGUCUGGAGUGAAAGGCGGGGGCUCAACCCCCGGACUGCUCUGGAAACUGUACGGCUGGAGUGCAGGAGAGGUAAGUGGAAUUCCUGGUGUAGCGGUGAAAUGCGUAGAUAUUAGGAGGAACACCAGUGGCGAAGGCGGCUUACUGGACUGUAACUGACGUUGAGGCUCGAAAGCGUGGGGAGCAAACAGGAUUAGAUACCCCGGUAGUC